GAGUUUGAUCGUGGCUCAGAGCGAACGCUGGCGGCAAGCUUAACACAUGCAAGUCGAACGCCCGCAAGGGAGGUGGCGGACGGGUGGCGUAACACGUGGGAAGUCUGCCUUUAGGUUAAGGAAUAACACAGAGAAAUUUAGUGCUAAUACCUUAUAAUGUCUUUGGUACCAAAGAUUUAUUCGCCUAAAGAAUGAGCCCGCCGGUGGGAUUAGCUAGUUGGUGGGGUAAGUGGCCUACCAAGGCAACGAUCCAUAGCUGGUCUUAGAGGAUGAUCAGCCACACUGGGACGUGAGACACGGCCC
Molecule: ribosomal RNA, 303 nt
Filed under: uncultured Alphaproteobacteria bacterium
Lineage: Bacteria; Pseudomonadati; Pseudomonadota; Alphaproteobacteria
Description: bacterial SSU rRNA
Rfam family: Bacterial small subunit ribosomal RNA
Source: RNAcentral